CCAGCCGCCGGUCGCCGAGGGGCGGUGGGAAAGGAGGAGCGCGAGCGAGAGGGCCCCGCAGACUGGCGCCCGCCCGGGCGCAGCGCGGCAUGUAGCUGCGGGCUCCCGCGCCCGCGCGAGGGUGUCGGCCCGGGGCCCCGCCAUGGCUGGAAAGGACAGUGGGAACCUGAAGACGGUGAGGCUGUGGCGGGACGCCGCCCUGCGCGCCAGGAAGCUGCGGAGCAACCUGCGCCAGCUCACCCUCAGCGCGGCCGGGGCCGACCAGAUCGACUCCCCCGACGCCCCCCAGCUCGUGCUGCCGGCCAACAUCGGGGACAUUGAGGUGCUGAACCUGGGCAACAACGGCCUGGAGGAGCUGCCCGACGGGCUGGGGUCGGCGCUGGGCAGCCUGCGCGUCCUGAUCCUGCGCAGGAACCGCUUCGCCCGGCUGCCCCCGGCGGUGGCCGAGUUGGGCCACCACCUCACCGAGCUGGACGUGAGCCACAACCGGCUGACCGCCCUGGGCGCGGAGGUGGUGAGUGCCCUGCGGGAGCUGCGCAAGCUCAACCUCAGCCACAACCAGCUGCCCGCCCUGCCCGCGCAGCUGGGCGCCCUUGCCCACCUGGAGGAGCUGGAUGUCAGCUUUAACAGGCUGGCGCACCUGCCCGACUCCCUGUCCUGCCUCUACCGCCUGCGCACCCUCGACGUGGACCACAACCAGCUCACUGCUUUUCCCCGGCAGCUGCUGCAGCUGGCGGCCCUGGAGGAGCUGGACGUGUCCAGCAACCGGCUGCGGGGCCUACCUGAGGAUAUCAGUGCCCUGCGUGCCCUCAAGAUCCUCUGGCUGAGUGGGGCUGAGCUUGGCACCCUGCCCAGCGGCUUCUGUGAGCUGGCCAGCCUGGAGAGCCUCAUGCUAGAUAACAACGGGCUGCAGGCUCUGCCCGCCCAGUUCAGCCGUCUGCAGCGGCUCAAAAUGCUCAAUCUCUCCUCCAACCUCUUUGAGGAGUUCCCUGCCGCGCUGCUGCCCCUGGCUGGUCUGGAGGAGCUCUACCUUAGUCGCAACCAGCUCACCUCAGUGCCAUCCCUUAUCUCGGGCCUGGGCCGGCUUCUCACCCUGUGGCUGGAUAAUAACCGGAUCCGCUACCUACCCGACUCUAUCGUGGAGCUCACGGGUCUGGAGGAGCUAGUGCUGCAGGGGAACCAGAUCGCCGUGCUGCCAGACAACUUUGGCCAGCUCUCCCGGGUGGGCCUGUGGAAGAUCAAGGACAACCCACUGAUCCAGCCCCCCUACGAGGUCUGUAUGAAGGGGAUUCCCUACAUCGCAGCCUACCAGAAGGAGCUGGCUCAUUCCCAGCCGGCAGUGCAGCCCCGCCUCAAGCUGCUCCUGAUGGGCCACAAGGGUGCAGGAAAGACCUUGCUCCGCCACUGCCUCACCGAGGAGAGAGUGGAGGGAAGCCAGGGCGGAGGGGACAAGGAGAAGAGCUACCCGCCUUCACCUCCUCCCGUGAGCAAGGGCAUCGAGGUGACUAGCUGGACUGCUGAUGCUUCCCGCGGCCUGCGGUUCAUCGUGUACGACUUAGCUGGUGACGAAAGUUAUGAGGUGAUCCAGCCCUUCUUCCUCUCCCCGGGAGCCCUCUAUGUGCUGGUGGUGAACUUGGCCACCUAUGAGCCACCGCGCUUUCGCACCACCGUGGGCUCCUUCUUGCAUCGGGUGGGGGCCCGGGUGCCUCACGCCGUGGUGUGCAUUGUGGGCACGCACGCAGACCUGUGCGGUGAGCGGGAGCUGGAGGAGAAGUGUCUGGACAUCCACCGCCAGAUCGCCCUGCAGGAGAAGCACGACGCGGAGGGGCUGAGCCGUCUGGCCCAGGUGGUGGACGAGGCACUGGCCAGGGACUUUGAGCUGCGCUCUGCCAGCCCCCACGCAGCCUACUAUGGUGUUUCGGACAAGAACCUUCGGCGGCGCAAGGCCCAUUUUCAGUACUUGCUCAACCACCGGCUGCAGAUUCUCUCUCCAGUGUUGCCUGUUAGCUGCAGGGACCCCCGCCAGUUACGGCGCCUGCGGGACAAACUGCUCUCAGUAGCUGAGCACCGGGAAAUCUUCCCCAACUUACACAGAGUACUGCCUCGAUCCUGGCAGGUGCUGGAGGAACUGCAUUUCCAGCCACCUCAGGCGCAACGGCUCUGGCUAAGCUGGUGGGACUCGGCGCGCCUGGGCCUGCAGGCGGGUCUGACGGAGGACCGGCUGCAGAGUGCCCUCUCUUACCUGCACGAGAGCGGCAAGCUGCUCUACUUUGAGGACAGCCCGGCCCUCAAGGAGCACGUCUUCCACAACCUCACCCGCCUCAUCGACAUCCUCAAUGUCUUUUUCCAGAGGGAUCCUUCCUUGCUGCUGCAUAAGCUGCUGCUAGGGACCAGCGGAGAGGGUGAGGGCGAGGGGGAAAGCUCCCCACUGAUGGCGCUGCCCACCCCGAGCCAGGACCUGCUCCGGGCCACCCAGCUCCAUCAUUAUGUGGAGGGCUUUCUGCUCCAUGGGCUCUUGCCAGCCCAUGUCAUUCGGUUGCUGCUUAAGCCUCAUGUCCAGGCCCAGCAGGACUUGCAGCUGCUGCUGGAGCUGCUGGAGAAAAUGGGACUCUGUUACUGCCUCAAUAAACCCAAGGGCAAGCCUUUGAAUGGGUCCAGGGCCUGGUACAAGUUCCCAUGCUAUGUGCAGAACGAGGUGCCCCAUGCAGAGGCCUGGAUUAAUGGGACCAACCUGGCCGGGCAGUCUUUUGUGGCUGAGCAGCUGCAGAUUGAAUAUAGUUUUCCCUUUACCUUCCCACCUGGGUUGUUUGCACGCUACAGUGUCCAGAUCAACAGCCAUGUGGUGCACAGGUCGGAUGGGAAACUUCAGAUCUUUGCCUAUCGAGGGAAAGUUCCUGUGGUGGUGAGUUACAGACCUGCCAAGGGGGUCUUGCAGCCAGACACUCUGUCCAUUGCCAGCCAUGCAUCAUUACCAAACAUAUGGACGGCAUGGCAAGCCAUAACCCCGUUGGUGGAGGAGCUGAACGUCCUACUUCAGGAAUGGCCUGGACUGCACUACACCGUGCACAUUCUCUGUUCUAAGUGCCUUAAGAGAGGGUCGCCCAAUCCACAUGCUUUCCCAGGGGAGUUGCUGAGUCAGCCCAGACCAGAAGGCGUGGCAGAGAUCAUUUGCCCCAAGAACGGCAGUGAGCGAGUGAAUGUUGCCUUGGUCUACCCACCUACACCGACUGUGAUCAGCCCCUGUUCCAAGUAUCUCCAUACUUUCUUGGAAAAUUAAGUGGAAAAGAUAGUGCUUCUUUCCCUUAUGCCAUCAUUUUUACUGUACCCAAUCUGUGACUUUAGGAGCACCAAUUUUUAAGGGAAGAACGUUGGUGAAAAGCACAGAAACCAGUGACUUUUAUGGCUGUGGAAUUUCCAUGGAGAAAAGAGAGCAUCAGAACUCACCUGGACCAUCUUUCGUACCUGGCCAACCCUUCACACUCCCAAGAGUGUCCGUGAACUUGGGUGCAUAAGCGUUCAGGGUGCUCUCAGAGGAGGAGCACACCUGGCCUGUGGACGAGGCGGGGAGGGACAGAGGGGAGGGUGGGAGAGGAUAUGGAGCAAAUGUUUUACAACCUGAACCUCAGAACUGUGAUCCUCCAAGGAGAGCGCUACUUGAAGAAAAGCAAAAAAAAGUCGAAUGGCUUCUCAGGGAUUUUGUUUUCCGUGCACAUAUAAGCCAUAGUUCCAAUGCAGGUGGCAGGAUUUAGAGCACUCAGAUUUCAGUUCUGUUCAAUGUGAAAGAGGGAUCGACUGACCAUUCAUUGCUGUUCCAUAACUAGUGUAAAAUAUGUAUAUGUUUAUCUUUAUUUUUAUAAUAUGCAAAUACAUUUAAAUUUAUACAGUUUGAAGCUUCUAGCGCUAGUUAACACUGGGUGCAAUAUUCUGCAUGAGAACUGUGCCAAGGUGGGGCUGGUUUCUUAUUUUAGCGUAAGACCUUUUUGUUCAUUCUUUAUUCUUUAAUCCUUCUCAGAUUAAAAAAAAAGAGAGAUCUCUCUGUCUGCCCAUGGAUUAAGUGUUGGUUCAUAGAAGUUGCCAAUAAUCUGCAAGAACCUUAAACGUGCAUUUCAGGCAAACAUUUGUUUCCCUCCCCUUCUUUUAAAUAAAGGUCCCUGCCUGUACACUGUUGGGCAGGGCAGUGGGAUUAUUCCUUUUCUUUCCCUCACAUGUCACUAGUGCUGGGCAGUGUCCCUUCCUCCAGGUUUGGUGUUGACUGUGGGUUGUCACAGCUGAUGUGCUGAUGGAGGCCUGGUGUUGGGAUUCUCCAGGGAGGGGCACAGAUGGGUCAGCGAGUUCUUAGAAAACCUGUGUCUUUCAAUAGCUUCAGAUAAUCAGGAGUCAGUACUAAAACAUGCAAAGAGCUCUGCUCAUAAGUCCUUUUUUUUCUGGAACAGUCUGAAAUUUAGCAGAGCACUUCGAAAGCCCUCCACAUCUGGCUGUCAGACCUUAAGAUAGUGAGUUGCCUAAUUGGAAAGCAUAAUCCCACAUUGGUUAUUUAUAAAUACACAGCCUCUGAUUGGACCCUCUACUGCCCGGAGCUAGUAAAAGCCUUGUUU
Ceratotherium simum simum (southern white rhinoceros) is the source of this 4595-nucleotide non-coding RNA. NCBI's taxonomy places the organism in Eukaryota, Metazoa, Chordata, Mammalia, Perissodactyla, Rhinocerotidae. The record is from RefSeq and is a predicted model, not a curated record.